AUUUUUAUGCGGGGGUGCCAUUUUGGCUGAGAGGAUACAAAUCUAACCCUUAGAACCUGAUUUCGGAUAAUACCGGCGUAGGAAGCAUGUUACUGAUGAUG
Molecule: non-coding RNA, 101 nt
Filed under: Clostridium acidisoli
Lineage: Bacteria; Bacillati; Bacillota; Clostridia; Eubacteriales; Clostridiaceae
Also listed under: 1 other name
Description: TPP sequence
Rfam family: TPP riboswitch aptamer (THI element)
About the family: Vitamin B(1) in its active form thiamin pyrophosphate (TPP) is an essential coenzyme that is synthesised by coupling of pyrimidine and thiazole moieties in bacteria.
Source: RNAcentral